Molecule: ribosomal RNA, 253 nt
Filed under: uncultured bacterium
Lineage: Bacteria
Description: partial 16S ribosomal RNA
Rfam family: Bacterial small subunit ribosomal RNA
Source: RNAcentral
UACGAAGGGGGCUAGCGUUGCUCGGAAUCACUGGGCGUAAAGGGCGCGUAGGCGGCCGAUCAAGUCAGUGGUGAAAGCCUGUGGCUCAACCACAGAAUUGCCUUUGAUACUGUUCGGCUCGAGACCGGAAGAGGUUGGUGGAACUGCGAGUGUAGAGGUGAAAUUCGUAGAUAUUCGCAAGAACACCAGUGGCGAAGGCGGCCAACUGGUCCGGUUCUGACGCUGAGGCGCGAAAGCGUGGGGAGCAAACAGG